Molecule: long non-coding RNA, 20291 nt
Filed under: Malus domestica (apple)
Lineage: Eukaryota; Viridiplantae; Streptophyta; Magnoliopsida; Rosales; Rosaceae
Description: long non-coding RNA (MDOM_LNC005234)
Source: RNAcentral
UUCAUAGGCUUCAAGGAAACCGAUCUUUGCCUUGUCGGGGAGAUCAUGGGAAUGAACAAAUGGCACCUCGUUUGGCCACCCAAUCUCCAUUCUUAUAUUGGCACAGGGGCUAUCAAGUGUCUGAAUGUGAUUCUCACACUUCUUCAGGUUGCAGAACCUCAGCUUGAUUCCCUUCUUGUCUGCAAUGUCUUGAACCCUUUCCUGGACUCUCUGGGCCUCGACCCACAAUCUCUUGGAAGGUGGCAGAGGUUUGGUUCUUUCACUCUUUCUCCUCCUCAACAAAGGCUUCAUAGAUCCUGUACCAGCAUUUCAUCGAUCCAAGGACCUGCUGUUAAAAGCUUCUCACAUAAGAGAUACACAUAAACACGUGCAAUCCAAUAUCAAGAGGACUCAAGAGACGGAUAUAAUUUUUAGAAGAUAAAACUAGAUUGAGGAUCCUUGUUACGACAGCAGAAAUGCGAAAACUAUUAAGUAGUUGAUGAUUACUAUCAAUAGAGUUGGACUUAAUUUAGCUUAUACAUUGAACUUAUUUUUGGUGUGUGCAUGUGCUUCAGUCAGUAAGACCAAUCCUAAUUAAAGUAAGCUGUCAUUAAAAAAAUUGCAUUCAUGAAAUCAAUUUACAGUAUGUAACAAGCAGGCAAUUGGUAAAGAAGAUUAAAUGCAGCAUACCAUCUUGUGCUGCAUGGAAAUUGGAACUUUGGAAAACUGUGUCUGUUAAAGAGUUGAUUGGUGGGGUGAGAUCUCUGCAUAAAGUCAUCAACCGCUACUGGAAGCUGGAACUGAGCUUCAACCCCAUGACCAGCAGCUCUCAUCUCUGAACAACUAAGAUUGGUCAUGGAUUUAGGCAUGAAUUUAAAAAGCCACAAGAAAUCGCCCAAACAAGUUGCUCUGUGUAUUAGCAGUCUCCAUUCUCUGCAGUGCAGGGUUAACAUAUCCUGCAGUUGCCUGAUAGAGUGUGAGUCCAGGGUAAACAAUAGCUUCUUGAGGACCAAGAUCUUCGUCCACAAGAACCCAACGACCCUGAAAGUCCUUUAUGUGUAGACCAGCCUUGCCUGACUUGACAAGAGAUAUCAAGCUUUUGUCAACUUGAUGCUCAUGGUCAGAAAACAUAACCAACUGGCCAUCCUCUUGGGUCGUAAAACUAUGGUGUUGUGUAACCUGAAAUGAUGGCCUUGCAUGACAACAGACAGAUAAUACUGAAGAAGAUAUUUACCUGUUUCUUAAGGGAACAUUAUCAAGUACGUCAGUAAAUGGUGAGCUCCUCAAGUUCAAAUAGAAGCUGAUAGCGUGCAAUAUAUCUCGAGCUGCCAUUGCAAGCAGUGAAAAUAUAUCUGGUAAAGCUGCUGGAGGAAAUUCCAUUGUGUUGUCGGGCUCUAAAGGAGUGAAUCCAGGUCUGUAAUCAUAGGUUUCUAGCCACAAUUGAGGAUCUGCAUUAUAAUCGGAAGUCUUGCACCAGUCACGGGGAUCAUUGUUAUUAACCAUAUCUGCAGCUGGGUAUGAUGCUUUCUGGUGGAAGUAGAGGCGAGCCGAAUCUAAACCCGACCUCAAAAGAGCCCCAUCACUCACUGGAAAACUGAAUGAUGGCAGCAGAAUAGAGUGCUAGUGAUUGUGACAAAGUCGAAACAGAUAGUUUGUAAGAAUCUGAUGGAAGGCCUUCACCAGGUGCCAGAUCAGUUAGCUUCACACGACCUAGAGAUGGCAGGCCAUUACUUGCCAUGAAACCCUUUGGGUAUACUUGCUACCUAAUUUUGAAGAGAGGCACAGGUUACACUGACAAACUCAAAAUUAAAAACUGAAACAGCAUAAUCAUUCAUCAAUCAGAAUCUCUCUCUUUUUUUCUUAUGAGAAUUUAGGAACUCCUUGACCCCUAAGUUGAAGCCACAAAACUGAACCAUCUACGUACUGCAAGAAGAAAGUAUAUGAAGCAUAAAUAUAUACGUACAAAUACAUGUGUGUACAUUAUGAACAUUUUAUAUUGAAAAAGUGCUCUCCUAAGGUCCUUAAAAAGUCAAGCUGCUCAACUAUUGAUCGUCUAUGUACGCUAGAAAUGCAAGAUCUAUGAUACGUUGCAUGCCGAGGGGACAUUUGACCUAUGUAUAGAUAAAGUUAGAAGCUAAGUUUUUCCAAUUACUAGUAUGAGCAACAACAACAACAACAACAACAACAACAAAGCCUUUCCCACUAAGUGGGUCGGCUAUAUGAAUCCUUAGACGCCAUUGCGCUCGGUUUUGUGUCAUGUCCUCGUUAGAUCCAAGUACUCUAAGUCUUUUCUUAGGUCUCUCAAAGUUUUCCUAGGUCUUCCUCUACCCCUUCGACCCUGAACCUGUCCCGUAGUCUCUCCUACUUACUCGGAUAUCCUCAUUCCCAAUUAUCCUUUCUCGUUGCCACACAUCACGAAGCAUCCUCAUUCCGCCACACCCAUUUUGUGUACGUGUUGAUGCUUCACGCCCAACAUCUGUGCCAAUACAACAUCGGCCUUAUUGCCUCCUAAAUUUUCCUUGACUUCAGUGCCUACGACGGUCACACACAGCCGGGAUGCACUCUACACUUCAUCAUCCAGCUUGUAUUCUAUGGUUGAGAUCUCAUCUAAUUCUCUCGUUCUCUUUGCACGAUAGUCCUAGUAGCGAAACACGCUUUUUGGUGAUCUUCGCUAGAUUGCUCCGGUCAUUAGUGGGUAAGUAUAUAAAUGGAUAGAGACAAGAAAGCAAACACAAGAUGUACGUGGUUCACCCAGAUGGCUACGUCAGAAAUAGAGGGAUUCUCAUUAAUUGUGAAGGUUUACCAAGUACAUAGGUUCAAGCUCUCCUUUAGUGAGUACAAGUGAAUGAUUAGUACAAAUGACAUUGGGAAAUAUUGUGGGAGAAUGAUCUCGUAAUCACGAACUCUAAGUAUCGGAACGUAUCGUCUUGAUUGCCUUAUCUGUCUCAUAGGUAAUGUGGCAUCUUCUCUGGAGUACUCUUCUCCAUCCAGGGUUGUAUCUUAACUAGUGGAGAUGACAAGGUAAUGUAUCAAUUUCACUUGAAGCUUACUUGUAGUUUCAGGUUGGUCAGCGCGAUACAAACCAUGUAGUGGAGUCCCCAAGUCGCCGAGCUAGAGGAUCUGCUAAAAGAGGUGACAGACAAGGUAAGCAAUCAGAGCUCGGCUGAUUGUUCACUUCUCCCUAUCUUGCAGGCAGCAUGAAGGAUAAAGAGAAGAAAUGAGAAGAGAUUGAUAUGGGUACUUUGCUUUUGAAGAAGUAACUUCCAACAGGCUUAUUCUUGAACUGAGCUGGAGGGUUUUCUGUUUCCUCCGAGUAUAAGGCCGACUGAAGGAUUUGAGGGUCAAACAAGUCCAUCAAAUCUAGAGUACGUUCGACCCCUGAUAUGGGAUACUUUGCUUUGACAGAGUAUGGAAUGAUGGCACGUGUUGCUGUUCGCUUGUCUCCACAUGCUUCCUUGUAUCCUUCUCCCUUGCCCUAGCUGUUCCUCAGGCACGAUUGCGGUAUCUUCCUGGAAGCAUAAGAUGUUGAAGAUGUACUCGAGGCAAUGGGUAAGUAAUAGGUAAGGGGUUCUAGGCAGUCAGUUCCUGGCUGGAAGUUUGAUUCCAAGUGCUGACUGAUUGCUCUCUUCUCCUUGUUUGCAAUAAGAACAAGGCAAAGGAAAAGACAGGGAAAAAGCAUGAUAUGGGAUACUCUUGCUUUUUAACCCUGAUGAUAUGAAUAUCUUGCUCUAGUAUAGCUUGUUUGCAGAGAUAUUAUCGCGGGGAAAGAAGCUGAUAUUCGAAAGGCGUUGGGUGCCCCAUAUGAGGAGGGUUGAGCAUUUUUGCAGGUCUGCCUGUCGUUGGGGAUGGAGGUCGACAUAUAUAGAGUCUCCUUAAAACAAGUAAUAAUGCUAUUCCGUUUCCUACUUGGUCAUAGCCAGGGGGGCUCCAGCGUUCACAUGUUUUAAUUGUCAGAGCACUUUGAAAGUGGUUUGUGGUAUUGGAAAGGUGAUGUUGCAUGUGAAGUUACAGACAGCUUUAUCCCCAAGGAGUCGGCUCUUGAAGUUGGGAAAGUUUGCCUCUUGUUUUCGAACAAGCAACUCCUUGGGGUCUGGCUCCGAGAUUCGGAGACGAUGCCUCUUCGAUUUGAGAAAGCAAUCAUGCUGGGGGGCUCUCGAGAUUCGGAGAACGAUGCCUCUUCGAUUUUUGAGAGAUGCCUAUUGUGGGUUUAUCCAAAGGCAUUUAUUCCUUCGUCUUCUAGGCUGUACGCGUAAUGAGCUCCAAUGUCAACCUGUGCCUCCUUCUAGGGUUCUGUCCAGUACUAAGGUCGAAUGAUCCCUCCGGUGCCUCUCUUUCUGGGCUCACGACUGCUGAGAUUCUAAGCAACCUUUGUGAGGCUCCCUCUUGUUUGUUUGUUAAUAACAUUUGUAAUCGGGGAUAUCUUUUCCUUCAUUUCACGUAUUGUUUAAUUACACAACCUUCUUCGCUAGUUCUUUGAAUUUUCUUUGUUGAAGCUUUGUGAGUGGGCAUUAGGUUUGAGUAUGUUCCUUAAUUUCCUGAGUGAGGAAAACUUCUCGGUUGGAGACUGGAAAAUCCAAGUCAUUGAGUGGGAUCGGCUAUAUGAAUUCUGAACGCUUGUGCUCGGUCUUGUGUUAUGUCCUCGUUAGAUCCAGUACUUAAGUCUUUUCUUAGUCUCUUCCAAGUUUUCUAGUCUUCCUACCCCUUCGGCUGAACUCUAUCCUAGUCGCAUCUUCAAUCGAAGUCAGUAGGCCUUCUUUGCACAUGUCCAAACCCGUAAAACCGAUUUUCUCUCAUCUUUCCUUCAAUUGCGGCUACUCCUACUUUACAUGGAUAUCCUCAUUCAUAAAUCUUAUCCUUUCUCGUGUGCCCACACAUCCAACGAAGCAUCCUCAUCUCCGCUACCCAUUUUGUGUAGUGUUGAUGCUUUACGCCCAAAUUCUGUGUCAUACAGCAUCGCCGGCCUUAUUGCCUCUAUAAAAAUUUUCCCUUGAGCUUCGUGGCAUAUAGGCGUCACACAGCAGCCGGAUCAAUCUUCCAUUCAUCCAUCCACUUGUAUCUAGGUUGAGAUUUCCAUCUAUUCUCCGUUCUUUGCAAUAGAUCCUAGUAACGAAAACGGUCGCUCUUGGUAUUUCUUGAUCUCGAUCCUCACCCCUAAUUUUGGCUCCAUUGCACUGAACUUGCACCUCAUUUUCUGUCUUUGAUCGGCUUAGGCGAAGAUUUAGAUUCCAAACUCCUCUCCAAAGGUAAGUUUGCAUUACCCUUCCUGAGUUCAUCUAUCAACACUAUUCGUCUGCGAAGCAUACACCAAGAAUAUCAUCUUGAAUAUGUCCUGUUAACUCAUCAAUUACAACGCAAAAANUAUAUGGGCUCAAGCAGGCGCCCCGUGCAUGGUCCAAUGUUUUUCCACUCAUUUGGAAGAUUUGGGUUUCCCCUCUACGCGGUCAUCGUUUUUACCUAAUUCAUGGCUCAACUCGUAUUUAUCUCUUAAUUUAUGUUGAUGAUAUUUUGGGUCCGGGAAUAAUCUCUUAUAUUGUCACCUCAUUAAGAUUUUGGGCCUCCGUUUCUCUAUAAGGACCUUGGACGGUUCAUUAUUUCUUAGAUGGAGGUGGUCCGCACUCCAUCAGGUCUCUCUCUUUCCCAACAGAAGUAUGCACUGACCUCCUUACCGCACCAAAUGCGGUGCCGGGUUCCUACUCUGCCGUUAGUGGGCGACGGCUCAGUCUUCGGAUGGUGACUCUGCCGGAUCCUACUGAAACCGAAGUGUUGUCGGCGCCCUUCAUUACUUGACUCUUCACUCGCCCCGAAUCAACUUCGCCGUCAACCAAGUCUGCCAAUCUUCACCAGCCGACUUCUACUCAUUGGGCCGCGUCAGCAUUCUUUCGUUACCUUGUCGGCACUACUUCUCACGGUCUUAUCUACAAGCUGGUUCUUUUGUCUUACGGCAUUUCCGAUGCCGAUUAUGCCGGGAUCCUGAUGAUCGGCGUUCCACCGGGGGGCUAUUGCUGUACUGGGUUCCAAUCUUGUCUCAUGGAGUGCCAAGAAACAAAAUGGGGUCUCUCCGGUCCAGCACUGAGCCGAGUAUCGUCAAUUGCAAUCACCGCUGCCCUCUUUCAUGGUUUCGUAUGCUGUUCGUGACCUCCAGUUUCCUCUCCAUUGUCCUUACCACUGUUCGUGUGACAAUAUCAGUGCUAAUUCCUUUGCUUUCCAACCGGUGUUUUGCCCGCACUCGGCAUGUUGAGGUAGAUUCCAUUUAUGUUCGUGAAAGGUUGUCGCAAGGAGCUUUGAUGUUCAGUUAUCUUUCUAUCAUGAUCAGAUUGCUGACAUCUUCACCAAGGGCCUUUCUCUUCCUCGUUUUCGACUUCUGGUUUCCAAGCUUCCUGUACUUGAUUGUACUGUCAGCUUGCGGGGGUAAAGGAUGAUACAUUCCUGAUCUCUUGGGAUUGUUUCCUGUUUAUCAUGAUUUCCAGAUUUCCCUGUUUUAUUAAAACAUUCCCUUUAUGUAUUCUUUGUAGAUUAAUUAUACUUGUAAAUCAAGUCAUUGUACACUAUUUAAAUCAAUGAUAAUGCACCCUCUAUAGUAUCGAGGGAUUGAGCCAAAAUACCUUCUUUUACUUUUGCUGUCUUGUCUGCAAUUCCUCCUUUGAGUUAUCUUUUAGUUAGUAUCAACAAGGACAAGAAUUCCAGGGAUGGUGACCGUGCGUAGACCUGAUGAAUCAGUGGUGUGUCUCGGUUGGCUACCCAUACGAACUUUUUUACUUGAUCGCUAGAAUGGGACUUACAAUUACAAUUAACCGAGUGUUGACUGGCCAGCCUGUCCAGGUUCAGAUAGACUUAACUCCAUAUCAUGAGUAGCUGUCCAACCAGGUUCAUAGGCUUCAAGGAAACCGAUCUUUGCCUUGUCGGGGAGAUCAUGGGAAUGAACAAAUGGCACCUCGUUUGGCCACCCAAUCUCCAUUCUUAUAUUGGCAAAGGGGCUAUCAAGUGUCUGAAUGUGAUUCUCACACUCCUUCAGGUUGCAGAACCUCAGCUUGAUUCCCUUCUUGUCUGCAAUGUCUUGAACCCUUUCCAUCAGGACUCUCUGGACCUCGACCCACAAUCUCUUGGAAGGUGGCAGAGGUUUGGUUCUUUCACCCUUUCUCCUCCUCAACAAAGGCUUCAUAGAUCCUGUUCCAGCAUUUCAUCGAUCCAAGGAACCUAAUGUUAAAAAGCUUCUCACAUAAGAGAUACACAUAAACACGUGCAAUCCAAUAUCAAGAGGACUCAAGAGACGGAUAUAAUUUUUAGAAGAUAAAACUAGAUUGAAGAUCCUUGUUAUGACAGCAGAAAUGCGAAAACUAUUAAGUAGUUGAUGAUUACUAUCAAUAGAGUUGGACUUAAUUUAGCUUAUACAUUGAACUUAUUUUUAGUGUGUGCAUGUGCUUCAGUCAGUAAGACCAAUCCUAAUUAAAGUAAGCUGUCAUUAAAAAAAUUGCAUUCAUGAAAUCAAUUUACAGUAUGUAACAAGCAGGCAAUUGGUAAAGAAGAUUAAAUGCAGCAUACCAUCUUGUGCUGCAUGGAAAUUGGAACUUUGGAAACCGUGUCUGUUAAAGAGUUGAUUGGUGGGGUGAGAUCUCUGCAUAAAGUCAUCAACCGCUACUGGAAGCUGGAACUGAGCUUCAACCCCAUGACCAGCAGCUCUCAUCUCUGAACAACUAAGAUUGGUCAUGGAUUUAGGCAUGAAUUUAAAAGCCAAAGAACAUCGCCCAAACAAGUUGCUCUGUGUAUUAGCAGUCUCCGUUCUCUGCAGUGCAGGGUUAACAUAUCCUGCAGUUGCCUGAUAGAGUGCGAGUCCAGGGUAAACAAUAGCUUCUUGAGGACCAGUCACGAGGGUCAUUGUUAUUAACCAUAUCUGCAGCUGGGUAUGAUGCUUUCUGGUGGAAGUAGAAGCGAGCCGAAUCUAAACCCAACCUCAAAAGAGCCCCAUCACUCACUGGAAAACUGAAUGAUGGCAGCAGAAUAGAGUGCUAGUGAUUGUGACAAAGUUGAAACGGAUAGUUUGUAAGAUUCUGAUGGAAGGCCUUCAGCAGGUGCCAGAUCAGUUAGCUUCACACGACCUAGAGAUGGCAGGCCAUUACUUGCCAUGAAACCCUUUGGGUAUACUUGCUACCUGAUUUUGAAGAGAGGCACAGGUUACCACUGACAUAACUCAAAAUUAAUAAACUGAAAACAGCAUAAUCAUUCAUCAAUCAGAAUCUCCUCUUUUUUUUCUUAUGAGAAUUUAGGAACUCCUUGACCCUUAAGCCGAAGCCACAAAAACUGAACCAUCUACGUACUGCAAAGAAAGAAAGUAUAUGAAGCAUAAAUAUAUACAUACAAAUACAUGUGUGUACAUAUAUGAACAUUUUAUAUUGAAAAAGUGCUCUCCUAAGGUCCUUAAAAAAGUCAAGCUGCUCAACUAUUGAUCGUAUAUGUACGCUAGAAAUGCAAGAUCUAUGAUACGUUGCAUGCCGAGGGGACAUUUGACCUAUGUACAGAUAAAGUUAGAAACUAAGGGCCUGUUUGGUAUCCUAUUUGAAAAUUUUUAUCAUUUCUCAAAACAUUUUUUAAGAACAUUUCUUGAAAAUAGUUUUUUUGAAGACUCAAAAACUUGAUUGGUUUCUAAUUUAAAAUUUUUAAAUCUUACAACUUAAACUAUAACAAAGAGAUCUAAAAAGAGGAGGACGCAAGAGAGGUAGAAAGAGGAGAGAGGAGGAAAGAAAGUAAGAGAUGAUUUAAGGAAAAAGAAAGAAAAGAGAGAAUUGGACGAGAUAAAGAGGAAGAUGAGUGAGAAAAAAAACCUAAAGAAUAAAGAAAGCGAAUUGGAGAAGAGACGAAAAAGAUAAAAAAAAAAAAAGGAUAAAGAAAGAAGAAAAGAGAGAGAUUUAGAGUGAGAGUAGAGGAGGAAGAGAAAAGAAAGAAGUGAGUUUAAGUUUAAAAACUCUAAAAACUCACUUUUUAGUUUUUAGAUAAUAUAUUAUAUUUUUUAGUUAGUCUUAAUUUCAGUUUUUUAAAAUAGUCCUACCAAACAAGUUUUUAAGGUCUAAAACUUGAAAAUUGUUUUUGAGUUUAAAAAGUUGGAUUCAAGUACACUACCAAACAGGCCCUAAGUUUUUCCAAUUACUAGUAUGAGCAACGAACACAAAAAAAUUUCUUAUUAAACUUCGAUCUAAUAAUCUCUUUAGUCAGGAAAUUGAAGUGAUAUCCAAAAUCUGCCACAAUGUCAUCUAAACUCAACACAAAAAAAUAAAAUUGCUGAACAGUUCUGCAAGAUGAAGACUAAAUGCUACAGCAUCGACCGGAAACACUCUUCCAAACACAAAACCAGCCUUGCAACCAUAUUUCUUUCAAGUAUAUUGUCCAAACGGGGUAGUCUUUGCUCAUACAGAAGAUUGAAAAAUCCUUAAACACACUCGAUGCAGCAACGAACGAUUACUGUCUCCAUUAAGAUUUAUCCAACUGUUAAAAUGUUGAGUUUGUUUCAAAAAUUGUAUUACUUUUCUCCCCAAUUUUCAAACAAGAGCCCAUAAGACCAAUUGGCAACAAUUUGCAAUCCAGAUUUAGCGUCAUUAAUUGUUACCCAUCAACUAAUUCAAUCCAAAACGUGGAAAAAAAAAACUGGAACAAUUUGUUUCCUUUACUUGAUCUAAUAAAUAUAGAAAUGGUUCAAGAACACGGGAAAUUCCCAAUUCUCAAAACAAACAGAGAGAGAGAGAGAGAGAGAGAGAGAGAGAGAACUGACCUUCAUUGGUAGAAAAUGUUGCAGACGCCAACCAACCCAGAAGAAAGUUAAAUUCACGGGAAGAUUAGGGCUUUACAAAAGGGAGAGAGGAGAGGAACACACAACACAGUGCCUUUUUUCAAUUUUUUUUAACAGUUACACUUUCAUGGUGGAUUUUACUUGCGGCAACCAAAACUUGGUGAUGAGAUGAAAAUUUUGGAUUUGGCAGUGACCGAACACAGAAGUUGUCGAAAGCCAUAUCACCUACGCCAUAAAUUUUUCGUUCUGACCGGAAUGGGUGGUACAUCGUUUGUUUAUAUAUAAAUUGUAAGAAAUUUUAUUUUUUAAGUUAUUAAUUUUUUAAUAUAUAUAUCUCAUUAUUUAUAUAAUGAUACGAAUUGUAUCAUUUCAUAUGCUAGUCAUAUUGAAAUAUUUCUUCUACUUGGAUAUGUCUUUCCGCUUCUCAAAUUGGAGAAAUUUAUGUAAGAAGUAGCUAAUGUUAUUCACACGUUUAUUUUUAUCUUUCAAAUACCUUUGUUAAUAUUUGGCCUUGAUUUUCUCCAAUUUACUCCAUCCGAGCAGCGAAUAUUGAAAGAACAUAUGAGAAGUAAAAAUAAGUAUGUAGAUAGCAUAACCCUCUUUUUUAUAUACAAUUGUUAUUUUUUUAAUUUGUUUUGGAGAAUUCAACAAAACCGUCAUAAAACUUAUUUUCAUAGCACUUUUGUUGUUUUGUAAAAAUUUUCAGAAUUCAUUUAAAACGUUUCGAAAAUGUUCCCAUUGAUGAAAAUUUGUUCUAGCCACAUACUAAAAUCUGUUAGAAUUUUUCUCCAUUGAUUUUUUUUUUUUGCCUUAAAAAUGAACAAUGUUUGGCCACUCAAGAAUGAAAAUGCCUCAGAAACAGUUCGUAAUACUUUCAUCAAUUCCUACCAUAUGUUUUUAUAUAGCUCAAUGACUAAACAAUAUAAUUUUUUUUUUUGCUGAAAAAUCAUCUUUACGAAUCGAUUUAUAAUAUGAUAUUUCCGAUCAUAUUCACAAACUUUUGUGAAUUGGCCUAAAGAGUGUAGCUAUGUGACAAUGACUUAUAUAACAUUGCCUCCCGAUUGAAGAAGUUAUAGGAAAAUCAAGAGACAAAAUAAAGACGAAAAUGUGUACGAAAAUUAUUUCCAAAAUUUUAUCGAGCCUCGACUAGUGAAAUAGUGACUUCAUUAGCUGAGCAUGUUUUAGAAGAAUGACCGGCUUCGAGUUCACUCAUAUCCCUUUCACUGUAAAAACCAGGUUUUAGAGGUGGGGGCAAUGCACCUUCACUACCCAACAUUAGAAUUGCGGCUGACAUGCUCGGCCUGUCUUCUGGAUUCCUCUGCACACACAAAAGACCCACAUGAAUCGUUCUCACAACUUCAUGCAGAGUGAUGGAGUCCUCUAUCGAUGCAUCAAGCAGUUCGAGAGGCCUGCCUUCUGUGUGUAGCAUCCAUGCCUAAAACACGAAAACUAGUGUACUUAGCAGAAGUAGUAAAGUCGAGCGAUAAGAAUUUUUAACUUGACAUUUGAUGUUGUUACACUCACAUGUCCAAGAAGGUUGAGUUUGUGGUCUGGAUGAGAGAAUCCUCUAUUUCUACUCCACUCACUAUCUCUAGCACCAGAACACCAAAACUAUAGACGUCGGACUUUAUAGAGUAAAAACCAUCAAUUGCAUAUUCUGGGGACAUGUAACCGCUGCAGACCAAUGUGUCAAAAAACAUUUUUAUACGCAAAGAAUCUAGACUUUCUAGUUUCUAUUAGUGUUUUUAAAAAUUCAUUAAAAAAGAGCUGUACAAUUGUGUUUUAGGAUACUUACUACGUUCCGACCACUUUCUUCGUUUCAAUUCCUCCAAAGCUUCUAGCCAGGCCAAAGUCUGAGAUUUCGGGUUAAAUUCACUGCCUAAUAAAAUGUUACUUGCUUUGAGAUCUCUAUGAAUAACUCUCAAUCUAGAAUCUUGAUGAAGAUAGAGGAGCCCUCGAGCUAUCCCAUUAAUAAUUUCAAAGCGCUUCGCCCAGUCUAAUAAUAUCCUUCUUGUUUGAUCUGCAAAAUAUCAUAAUUCACAAUUGUCAAAAAAUACAUCGUGCUAGGUUGCUAGCAUAAGUGGACUAAUUGAACUAAAUGCAAGGUUUUGGAGUGGUCAAACCAAAAAUAAAGAAGUCUAAGCUCUUGUUAGGCAUGAACUUGUAGAUCAGUAUCAUCUCAUCUUCUUGAAUGCAGCAUCCAAGAAGCUUCACUAGAUUCCUGUGCUGAAGUUUGGCAAUAUGUGUAACUUCAUUCUUGAACUCGUUGAGUCCUUGUCUAGAAUUUUUUGAAAGCCUUUUCACUGCGAUUUCUUGUCCAUCUUGCAUCGUACCCUAAAAUCCAUCAACGUAUGUUAUGACCAAAAUUCAUAUUUUGUAGUUUGCACACUACUUGUAUCCAUCAUUCCAUAUUCUGACCAGAAUUACAUGUAUCUAUACAACUUCGAAACUAUGAAGGACUAUCUAGUUUUACCUUAAAGACAGAUCCGAAACCGCCUUCACCAAGUUUGUUUUCAUUUGAAAAGUUAUUGGUUGCAGAAACUAUAGUCAUCAAGUCAAAUAACGGUAAUUCCAGAUCCUCAUUUUGGUUGCGUCCCAGUUUUCCUACAAAGACGCAGUGACAAGUGAAAAAAAUUCCCUAUACAACUGAACUAUGUAGUUUGGAAAGAAGAGGGGCACAAUAGUACAACCAACUUACCACCUUUUUGGUGCUGCUUCUUCCAAACAUAAAACAACAGAGAAAGGCCCAGGAUCAGCAAUCCGAUAGACAACACAAUAGUGCUUAUUAUGAUUCUCAUUUUCUUUUCAUUGGAUUCAGAGUAUUUAGCGUUGAUCUUUGUAUCGUCUUCAUGAUCUACAAAUGAUAUUUAUGAAAACAGAAAAUCUAUGAGUCGGAGAGUAAAAAACAAAUAAAUAAAAACUGUAUAAUGUCUAUCAUCCAACUAAUAGUUUCUAGUUUGUGAGACAAUUCUAAUAGAGGAUAUUGCUAAUUGUGUCAACAUUCAAAGUUAAAACUGUUAGAAUUAGUACAAUGUUUCACUUCGUUAUGUCUUGACUUUGUUUCGAGCAUAUGAUUAUGACUAAAUGCAUAGUCACCAAAAGGUGUUUUUUACGUACUUUGUUCUGCUGCGGCCAUUCUUAUAUAAAUAUCUUGCCCGUUUUCAGCAGUGUAUCUUAUAUCAAUUAGAUCACCGUACCACAGCAAGCACCCAGUUCCUCCAUCCCGGAUAUCCAAAUUUGUAUAAGCCGUGCAGGAGCAGUUCUUCAUGCACACCAUCUCACAUUCCUUGAGGUUCAUACUUUUGUUAUGCCAUGAUUGUUCUGUGCUAGGCAAUUUCACCCCCGAGUACUUUUGGAACAUGUCUCCGGUGCAAUUUAGAGAAGUCUUUCUCACACAGCCAUGAGACCAAUCCACCAAAUCCCAUUCUUUCGGGAACUUUGGUGUAAAUCCUUUCAAACAGCUACAAACCGGGGACUCUUCAAUGUUACAUGCACCAUGUACACCACACAAUGCAUAGUUUACACAGUCAUCAAUUUUGGCUGAUUGGUAAAGAACCCAACCUCUGGUUCUAUCAAUCCAUGUGUAGCGCUGCACAAGUCCAUCUGAAGUUAACACCACCCUCGAAAAGAUUGAGUUGUUGUGAAGCUUGUAACUGUAGUACAUUUCAUCAGGCUCAGAAACAAAACUGUAUGUGAAUAUAGGGUUUGGAUUGAACUGAGGGCUUCCACUGAACCCGACUCCAUUCCAUGGUCCAGACCGAUAUUUAAUGACCGAACCUUCCCUCACAAAUAAUUCUGCAUAUCCCUUGGGACCAAGUUGAGAUGUACGAUUUCCUUGAGAAGGAUCCUGAGGACUUUUCCACGAUCUAAGAUGCCAAUUGAAGCCUGUAACUGUGUUCCUACCAAUCUUCAUACCUGGUAAGAAUGUAUCGCCAGGGUAAUCAAAACCUUGCCACAGAAAGUUCUCAGAGUCGUCAUCACUCCUAUCUAUCACGACAAGAUUACCCGAAUCCAAAAGACGUGCCACUGGAUUCUGUGCAGUUCUCGAUGUGUUGGAGGACCAAAUUGUGCUCAUGUUGUGGUUGAGGACAAGAAUUCCGGGGUUGGUGACCUUCAAAACGCCGGACAUAUCAGCGAGGGGCUUGUCUCUGUUGGCAACCCACACAAUGGUUGUAACAGAUAUCUGUUUACCAUAUCGCCACGUACCGUCUAUUAGAAGCAUCAGGAUAGUAAAAUCCUAGCUCAAACGUACCGCCAGUUGAAACUACAGUCUCACCGUCUCUAAUGGACUGAAAUGUACUCGUGGCGUCAUCAGCUGUGGAGAUUACGGCUGCGACCAUGAGCAGCAAAGAAGAGUAGAAAAGAAGCAAGCACAUCUUAGCUAAAGCAUUUGACGGAUUUUUCAUAAACUUCAUGGGAAAGCACUGAAUAUUGUCUGUCAUUUGAACACCUUAUUGAAAUAACGUUGAUACCUUUUCCUGCAAGCAACCAAUCAUUUUCAAGUUCAAUAUUGUUGAAUAGUCGGGUGCGUGAGAAAGUUGUCUUCAAUCCGAAGUAGACUUCGCAUUCGGUUAAGAAUGAUGUUGUCGUAGCCGGAUAUUUCACUAUGACAACUAAGAUUGUUCAUCUAGUAGAAAAUAUCCGAAUUAAUAUGUGGUCAUAUCCAGUUCCCUCGGCUCAAAGGAAACUUAAAUGUCUGAUUGGUGUACUCUCUCGCAUUAGUCUUGUAUUCGAUAUCGUUUUCUUUCCUUUUCAAUUCUUGUAAUUCAAGAUUAAUCCCACGUUAGAAAGUAUCAAUAAGAGCGUCUUCGGUGGGCGAUAAUAUUCCCUGUAACUGGUUGUAUAUCUCAUUGUGUCUAUCUCCCUAAUCACGUUAAGUUUUUCAUUUUCAAAGUCAAUCUGUUACACAUGUAAUGGAUCAAUUUGGUACCCUGUCAUUUUCUUUAGUUUAUACUAAAAAUUAUUGGCCGCACGUUGUUGCAGGAUUAAAAAUUGUAAAAAGCAUUAUAUUUGAAAGAUAUAAAAGAUUGUGUCAAGAAGAUUAAUACAACUCAUUGCUAUAUUUAAUUGAUACUCCACAUAAAAAUCGUAGAAGUUUUGGCUAUCUAUGUACAUAAAAUAUUAGAUCAACACAUUCCACUUAGGUAGUUUUUGUGAUUUUCGAUUGACAGCAGUACUUAAAUACGAAAGAUUACGAAACUUUGGGUUAUUUACAUGAAAAAAAUGUUAAGAAAUACUGUCAUUUACAUUGAUAAAAUAUGACAAAAAUUGUUCAAUGGAAUACCAAAAGAUCACUCCACUACUCUUGAUUGUCAAGAAAUUAGUUUAAACCAAUCCAAAGAUCAAAACUCUUUCAAAAUUCCAUGUGUAUUCAGUUUCUCUAAAUCAACCAACUUCUCCAUUCCAAACCAUCUAACAAAUAUUUGGCAGCAAUACAGCCAUCAACAAACAUUUUAAACCCAUUUCCAUGUGUAUUAAUGAUUUUCAACCAAAUUAUUUGAAGAUGGGGAAUCACAGAGCGAGCUUAAUUAGGAACCAAAGAAGAUCUGCAAAAGCAAGUUAAGAGAUCAUCGUACUACAGAAGCAAAUUACAUAAUAAAAUUAAGAGAGCAUUAUAUUACCAAAGCAUAAUAAUAUGUUCAUUUCCAAAUGUAUUACGAAAACCUAUUGUUUCAUUUUUUUUCAACCCACAAAAUUUACAGUUUAGUUCAAAAAAUUUGAUCUGAUUAUUAAUAUUCACACGGAAAAGAUACGACUCAAAUGAACUGGGCAUUUGAAGUCACUUUCUUAUUUCUUAUAACCACAUCAGUAUCAUAUAUAUAUAUAUAUAUAUAUACAAACGUAGCAAAACAGCCCAGAGUUUUGGAACUGUAUAAAACGUAGCAAAAAGAAAAUGGGUUUGUUUCUUCACUUUGUUCCUCCUCCUUUCUUCUGAUACGUAGGUGCUUUGACACUUUGUACAGCUCCAAAGCUGCCUCCUUGAGAAAACCAGUUUUUGGAAGCUCAACAAACCCUGCUUCUCCCAGAUGGUUCUGAACAAAGCUUCACCUGCAUCACUCGCACCAUGGUCUAUACACCUACAUGCAACUUUUGAUUUGAUUAUUAUAUAUUUUAUUAUGUCGAUACUCUACUAUAGAAACAAAAAUAAUUACACAAUACAAUUCAAAAGGAGAAAUAGUUCUUCAACCCAGUUGCAAGAGACGUCGAAAAUAAAGAAAUGGAGAUAUGUGUAUUAACUUGUUCAUAUUUGAACACAUAUACUUAUCUAUGAUAUAUUUUUUACAGUAGCACAUGGCUAAAGAUAUGUUACGCGAUAAUAUAUGUUAUGCCAAUUAUUGACUGAAGACAUGGCAGAAGAAGCAAAACGAAAAACAAUGGCAAAGAAUUUAGAGAGAGAAAGUGAAUGACUAAAGAUUGUAUUCCUUGAACAAUGAAGGAAUUCCAGAGAGAGGCGUUCGUUAUUUAUACAAGUAUUCUUUGCUUCACUCAUAAGCUACUUACCAACUUUCUUAUCCCUACAAAUCCCAACAGACUAACAGCCUUCCUACAAUCUCAACAAACUAACUGCCUCGCUGAUGUGUGCCUUGCUGAUGUGUAACCUUCAUGCUGAUGUGUCUGUAGAGCCAUACUGAUGUGUACAUAUCAGUCAACAGACCCAUGGCCUGAAGCAAUAACUUUAUGUUUCUUGAGUAUUCAUCUAAUAAAAGGCUAUUUGGGACAAGACUGGAUCUUUAAGAUAAUCUGAUGUGCUGCAACAACAUACAUGGAGACCUAGAAAACAAAAAGCAAAGAGCAUUGGUAAGUAAUAAUAAAACAUAAAAAGUACACAAAUUUAUCAACAAGCCAUGAAUGACCAAUCUUGUGAUAAUUCCAAAUCAUGUUUUUUUUUUUUUUUUCAAAUGGUAAUUCAUUCAACACGAUAGAACUCCCUGUAUACAAGGAGGAGAGAUAAGCAUAUGAGAACACCAAAUAAACUUCAAUAGACCAUCUUUUACAAUCACACACACUAGUAAAACUGCUUGCAAGUCACAAUCUUUCACAUAGUUUUUCCUAAACCCCAUGCAUGCUUCCCUCCUAGCAAAGCAGUUACAAACUUACAUGAUGUCUGACAUGGUUAAAGACAAGGGCAACUUUUACAAAAGAAACGCACCAAGUAAUCAACCACAGAGCAUUAUCGUGUCUAUCAAGUCUCACAUGUUUUGUACAUCCUAAAUAAUGAAAAAGCAUUAUCAUUCAAUUCCAUCUUUAGCAGCUUUGGCCUUAUGAAGAAUCGCAGCUGCUAAAGAUGCUAAGCAUGGAAAAUCAAAAGCGUCCAACAAUGAAUAUAAAGUGGGAUAAAGUAUGCAACAAGAAAAUAAAUCACUAGGCUGGGGGAGGAAAAGAAGUUGGACAAAGGACAUGAUUUUACAACAAAAAAGAUAUCCGAUAAUUUGGCAACUGAUUGCCAACAAACAGGUUCUUACAACGAAAAAUAAUGACACCACUGAUGCACAAGGACAACUUGCUUAGCAUACUAUGACCAUACCUUCCAAUAUACAACAGCAACUAACAAGAAAAAGAAGCACGAUGCAAAACAAGAAUCAAAUAGAAAACUAAGAAAAACGUUAGCCAAAACCUAUAUAUUUCAUCUCUCCCUUCCCCCUAAAAGAAAAUACUAACAAGGAAUAAGAAAAUCCCUGGCAGGCAACGUUACAUUGUCCCUUCAACCCCUUUUCCUACCAAAAUAUUUCCACCCAUAGAGACACCUCUUCGACUAUCUAUGUUAAUUGUUACAGUCUCAGGGAAAUGCUCUAAAACCCACAGUGAUGCAGCUCUCCAAUAUGGAUGAGUGACCGAGGGACAUUUCAAACCCAUUUUCCAAUCUAGCCUACGCAUUUUCUUACGAUUUCACCAUGCAAGAAAGGCUUCUCAGUGUGUGUUUAACUCCCAGUACAAAGGGUUAUUUAUGCCGAACCCAAUUUUUGUGAAAAAAAUUAUGGAAUUUGCCAAAACCCCUAAAAAUAUUUAGCUCAAACACUUCACAAACGAUGAUUCUGCACUAAUUUUACGACCCCAAAGCAUCUCUUCUUUCAUAAAACACAAUUUGGGUCAAAACCCAAAUGUAUCAAAACUCAAUUAUACACACUGACCAAUAAUCAGUAAAAUAACCAUUAAAAUGCAUCAAACUGAUUAACAUUUCAGCUGACCAAAUGCAGAAAGAACCAGCUUUUUCCAUCAUACAAAGCCAAGCUCACAACCGAACCCACUAAAUCGCACAGCUCGGAACCAGAUCCAAUUCUUUACAAACCAGAAUCGUAAUAAACCUUAAAAAUCAGACUUUGUUCUUUUUCCCAAGCACAAGUUAAACCAGAGAAACCAAGAAAACUAACUUAUUUUCUCAUAAUCAUCAUAUUUUCCCAAAAAAAUUGAAAUUUUCCAUGGAAAAAUCAAGAAAACGAACCUGGAGAUGCAGCGGCUACGGGAGAAGACCGAGAUUGAACCUGGAAUGAACAUGUUUUUUAAUUUUCUGAUUUUAUUGCUGCGGCAAACUAAUUAGAAGGGAAAUCCCAAAAUCAAGUCUUAUAUUUUGGAGGCAUGUUUUCACUAAAUCAGUGUUCGUGUGUCCCCAACAAAUUGAGUGAGUUUAUGGCUGUUGCAUAUAAGGCUAGAUUGGAACUCUAAUACAUUAGGAUAGUGGGUUCCAAAAAUUUAAGAGUAUGAACAGAAAGAAAAACGCAUCAGACCUCCUAGAAGCAAUUUUUUUUUUUUCAGUUGCAGAUCGAAGCAAUACAAAGAAAGAGAAACCGAGAGGCAGAUCGUACCUAGACUGGAGAUGCAGAGCUGAAGUUCACAGAGAAGGUUGCAAAGGGGAGAUGCAGAGGAUGAGGAGGAAGGUUGCGAAGGGGGGAGAUGCAGAGGAGAGGAAUGAGGAAGACAACGGCAAGGCAGAGAGAAGAGAUAUUGUUUUAGGGUUUGUAAUGAUUUAGAUGGUGUAAUUUUUGAAAAAGAUAUGGGGUAUAUUUGUCUUAAAAUGGUAAAAUAUUGUGUUCCACAGGCGUGGAACAACCUGUUCCAGGGGGUAGACGCGGGACACAAAAACACCCAAAUUCUGUCCCGUGGAACAGCACGUUCCACCCUAUUUUGGCGUACCAAAGGCGGGACGGAACGUCUUGUCCCGUUCCGUCCCGUCCCAUCCCGCUUACCAAACGCACCCUAAGUGACCCUGGUGUGAAUAUUUCCCAGAGCCGAACAAUACCCUUUUUGUGCACAGUUUUGUGCAAACUGUAACAGGACAGAAUGGUUAUGAUCAUUACUGGUAAAGAAUAAGCAAUAUGCAACACUCGAGAACAGUAUUUUAAUGUAAUCUGCCUAAGGCUCUGGGUUUAAAUUUCAUCAUCCAUGUCAACUGCAAUAUCGACCGUGAUAUGCAAUACUUCAGAUUAAAAUACUUGUAACGCAACUCCAUACUUGCCAACAUGGAAGCAAAAGGAGGAAAGGAAUGCAUAUUCUACUUUACCUUCUGAGUAAGCACUUGAAAGCUCUUUUUGAACUCUUUUGUGCUCAUCCUAAUUUUGUGAUCGCUCAAUUUCAAGUGUAGCCUCUCUUUUCUAGUGAGAGAUUCCACUACAACCUGAUAGGCAUAUUCAAGCAUUUAAUAAUCUACAGAAAUUAACUCAGCAAUAUUAAAUAUCAAACCCACUUACUUACCAUCUAUCUUAUCCAACUCUUAUUUCGGUUUCUCUGUCAAAGCUUCGCAAUAAUCUAAUUCAAUUACUCUUCCUUGCUUUUUAAUAAGAUCCCUACAAUCAAACAAACAUAAUUAUUCUAGUAAACACAUUCGAAUUCAAACACAUAAAAGAUGUUAUUCAUACCCAUAUCGUCAUAUUGCUGCUCUGAUCUUGAAAAAUUAAAAUUAAUAAUAAUCGUUCAAAUCAUAUUACAAUAUAUCACAAACUAUGACAUCUGAUAAUCAAUACAUUUAAGAAAAUUUAAAAUGAAUUCAAUUCACUCCAAACGGUGAUAUUAUAUGUUCACAUAUAUAUUCACAACAACAACAAAAUCACUUUCUAGCCACUGGGAUAAAAAUAAGAACAGAAAACAUUAAUUCGAGUGCACAUAUGAACAUCACAUAAAAAUCAUAACAAAAUCCAAAACAGAAGGAGAGAUAACAAAAAUGAUAAUUUUUUGGGACUUACAAUUACAAUUAACCGAGUGUUGACUAGCCAGCCUGUCCAGGUUCGGUUAUACUUAACUCCAUGUCAUGAGUAGCUGUCCAACCAGGUUCAUAGGUUCAUAGCCUUGUUGGGGAGAUCAUGGGAAUGAACAAAUGGCACCCCGUUUGGCCACCCAAUCUCCAUUCUUAUAUUGGCACGGGGGCUAUCAAGUGUCUGAAUGUGAUUUUCACACUCCUUCACGUUGCAGAACCUCAGCUUGAUUCCCUUCUUGUCUGCAAUGUCUUGAACCCUUUCCUUCAGGACUCUCUGGGCCUCGACCCAUAAUCUCUUGGAAGGUGGCAGAGGUUUGUUUCUUUCACUCUUUCUCCUCCUCAACAAAGGCU